GCAGACGAGUCCUCACCUCAAAAUGUUUACAUUAAAGUAGCCACAAACGAGACACGACAGACUCAACAAGAUGAAUCUGGAUCAUCAAUUUUUAGAUCAACCCCUCAGUCCCCCUGCUGCCGAAAAUUUGAGCUCUCCAGAGAAGGCAGAAAUGUGCAGUGACACCUAAAUUCAAAAUCCAUGCUGGAUACCUGAGAGAGGUUCAGAAAAUAUAGUUUUUUUAAUUUUGUAAAACUUUAGUUUCUGUUGUGUUUUUGUUAGUCUGUAUGCACAUGUGCUGGUCCAGUUACAGUUAGUUUCCUUGAGAGGCUCAAAUAUUACAGGUCUUAUUCACAUAAUCAUAACUCAAUUGCAUUUUAGUUCUUUUAUAUGUGUUUGUUUAUGAUACAUAAUCAAUAAUUUAGUAUACUCAAUUAAAAUAUGUGAUUAAAUUUUUGUUAUUUAACUCAUGAUGUAAUUUUAUCAGUU
Archocentrus centrarchus (flier cichlid) is the source of this 468-nucleotide long non-coding RNA. RefSeq lists it as uncharacterized. Lineage: Eukaryota; Metazoa; Chordata; Actinopteri; Cichliformes; Cichlidae. The transcript has 3 exons. The record is from RefSeq and is a predicted model, not a curated record.